Molecule: transfer RNA, 75 nt
Filed under: Candidatus Magasanikbacteria bacterium RIFOXYC2_FULL_42_28
Lineage: Bacteria; Candidatus Magasanikiibacteriota
Also listed under: 1 other name
Description: tRNA-Glu
Rfam family: tRNA
About the family: Transfer RNA (tRNA) molecules are approximately 80 nucleotides in length. Their secondary structure includes four short double-helical elements and three loops (D, anti-codon, and T loops).
Source: RNAcentral
GGCCUCAUCGUCUAACGGCUAGGACAGAGCCUUCUCAAGGCUUAAAUCGGGGUUCGAUUCCCCGUGGGGCUACCA